RNAcentral lists this long non-coding RNA (218 nucleotides) under Homo sapiens (human). Its description in RNAcentral is "non-protein coding lnc-EIF2AK3-4:52". The record is from RNAcentral. Lineage: Eukaryota; Metazoa; Chordata; Mammalia; Primates; Hominidae.
CAGUCUCCACAGCUCCUGAUCUAUUUGGGUUCUAAUCGGGCCUCCGGGGUCCCUGACAGGUUCAGUGGCAGUGGAUCAGGCACAGAUUUUACACUGAAAAUCAGCAGAGUGGAGGCUGAGGAUGUUGGGGUUUAUUACUGCAUGCAAGCUCUACAAUUCGGCGGAGGGACCAAGGUGGAGAUCAAACGAACUGUGGCUGCACCAUCUGUCUUCAUCUU